AGAGCAAGCCCCGAGGGCAGCAGCUGUGGGCAGGCUGGAGGAAAUGGUCCCUGUUUAGGUGCUGCACUGGUCUCUGCAUGAUCAAUCCCAGCGCCCAGAACACCGAUAUCAAGGCCUUUGCCUGGCUCUUCUCCAGAUGGUUUUCUAUUGCAGGAGUUUUGCUGGCAGAGAGCUUAUGAAGAAACAGGCUUACAGAAGGCACGGCCAGGCUGCAGGGAUGACUGGGACCUGAAAACAGCCAGCAUCAUCAUUCUUGAAAGUUUAGAAACGAGGCAUGUAUACGUAUUUAACAGUUCUCAGAAUGUCAAGGAUCCCUCCUCAGAGCAAGAGCUCGAAUUUACAAAAGAAGCACUACCUCCUUUAUCACAUAGUAAAAUAAAGGACCGUGUCUGCUCCAGGACAUGGCUGGUUACAAUUUUGUUUUAAAGAAAUCACCAGAGAAACCUGAGAUUCCAACCCAGCCUUUUGUUUGCCUGGGAUUAUAGCCCAGUUCUUACAAGCAGAGAAGCCUAGGACACUAACCCAGCUUCAAGAGUAUACUCAGAAUCUCAAGAAUCACAAUCUGUGCUGCCCAUUCUUCAACAGACUGUCAUCUGGAGGCCUGGAUUGGAUCAGGAGUCGGGCUCACCAAUGGAGCCCCAAUCAGUCAGUCAGGAGUGAAGAUGAAAGCUUCAAAGGCAUUGAUGACUCACUUCUCACUUGAGUCCAGACCCAUCUGGAUUGCCUGCAAAAAGGUCUCGGCAGUGACCUGAAAACAUAUGUAAAUUACCCAACCAAUUCUAACCAGGACCUGCUGUCUGGCAAUUCAUCCCCAUGUUCUAGACUUGUCCAACAAGCACCCAAGCAACUUUGAGUUCCAUCCUGCAACUCUCAGUCAGGCUCAAGAAAAGCCCCAAUUUUAUCUGGGCAUGGUGACACAUGACUGUAAUCCCAGCUACUCGGGAGGCUGAGGCAGUUGAAUCGCUUGAACCCAGGAAGCGAAGGCUGCAGUGAGCCGAGAUCAUGCCACUGCACUCCAGCCUGGGCAACACAGCGAGACUGUCUCAAAAUAAAAUUAAAAUUAAAUUUUUUAAAAAGGCCCCAA
RNAcentral lists this long non-coding RNA (1084 nucleotides) under Homo sapiens (human). Its description in RNAcentral is "HSALNT0316882". Lineage: Eukaryota; Metazoa; Chordata; Mammalia; Primates; Hominidae. The record is from RNAcentral.